ACGUAGGGUGCAAGCGUUAAUCGGAAUUACUGGGCGUAAAGCGUGCGCAGGCGGUUUUGUAAGCCAGAUGUGAAAUCCCCGGGCUUAACCUGGGAAUGGCAUUUGGGACUGCAAGGCUUGAGUGCGGCAGAGGGGGGUGGAAUUCCACGUGUAGCAGUGAAGUGCGUAGAGAUGUGGAGGAACACCGAUGGCAAAGGCAGCCCCCUGGGUCGACACUGACGCUC
Molecule: ribosomal RNA, 224 nt
Filed under: uncultured prokaryote
Description: partial 16S ribosomal RNA
Rfam family: Bacterial small subunit ribosomal RNA
Source: RNAcentral